UGGGGAAUUUUGGACAAUGGGGGAAACCCUGAUCCAGCCAUCCCGCGUGUGCGAUGAAGGCCUUCGGGUUGUAAAGCACUUUUGGCAGGAAAGAAACGUCGCGGGUUAAUACCCCGCGAAACUGACGGUACCUGCAGAAUAAGCACCGGCUAACUACGUGCCAGCAGCCGCGGUAAUACGUAGGGUGCAAGCGUUAAUCGGAAUUACUGGGCGUAAAGCGUGCGCAGGCGGUUCGGAAAGAAAGAUGUGAAAUCCCAGAGCUUAACUUUGGAACUGCAUUUUUAACUACCGGGCUAGAGUGUGUCAGAGGGAGGUGGAAUUCCGCGUGUAGCAGUGAAAUGCGUAGAUAUGCGGAGGAACACCGAUGGCGAAGGCAGCCUCCUGGGAUAACACUGACGCUCAUGCACGAAAGCGUGGGGAGCAAACAGGAUUAGAUACCCUGGUAGUCCACGCCCUAAACGAUGUCAACUAGCUGUUGGGGGCCUUCGGGCCUUGGUAGCGCAGCUAACGCGUGAAGUUGACCGCCUGGGGAGUACGGUCGCAAGAUUAAACUUAAAUGAAUUGACGGGGUCAUAGCUG
This 579-nucleotide ribosomal RNA is filed under the name uncultured bacterium. RNAcentral describes it as "partial 16S ribosomal RNA". It matches the Rfam family "Bacterial small subunit ribosomal RNA", at positions 355 to 932 of the family's 1533-position model. The record is from RNAcentral.